Molecule: long non-coding RNA, 1084 nt
Organism: Orbicella faveolata
Lineage: Eukaryota; Metazoa; Cnidaria; Anthozoa; Scleractinia; Merulinidae
Source: RefSeq, a predicted model, not a curated record
UACGACUACACCAGUGUUAUUUUAGUCGUGGUCGGUGUUUGAGUAGAAGACUGGGAAAGUCCUGAGAUUCCUGGACAAUCCUCUAAUUAUCAGUGUCCCUCAAGCAUACAUGCAUAUAUUUGCCUUAGCUUAUUUUUUCUCUUGUUCACUACCACAGCCGUCCAGCUCAUUCGUUUCUGUGGUACCUGUCUCCACUCAAGACUUUGCGUUGGAUCAUCUGGAAGAACUGCAAGCGGACCAUUAUAAAGUGGUUGAUCAUCUUCUUGCUGAUCUUGAUCAUCUUCUUAUUCAUAUACAGUGUUCCGAAUUAUGCAGCGAAGAAGGCGCUAGGUGUUUGAAUGUCUUUAUCUUACAACUAGAAACUUCACUAUCCCUUGAUAACAUAACUAUUCGUGAGAUAACGAAUUAUGACAAAUCUUAGAUACAGCCGGACUGACCAAGUAAGUGACAGUUUUUUGGGCUUAAAAUCCUCCUAGAGGCGUAAUAACCAUAAAGGGAGGUGCACCACCACUUGAGCCAUGGCCAAUUUUUGUCGUCAAAUAUUGGUGGUAGGAACAACCUGACUGCAAAGUCAACCUGGACUGAAUGAGUCUCGGAAAAAUUCAAUUGUUCCUUCGUAUACACAUAAAAAAUGCCAAUCCCGAUAGUUUUUAUGAAAAUCAAUGCAGCUACUUAACUUUACCCUAUUGAGGCUCUAGUAAGAUAUAUAGGAAAUUAAGGGUAAUUUUAAGAAAAUCACCGGGGAAAUAGCUUGAGGUGAAUGAAUUUAUAGCUUGCAAAUUGUUGUAUCUCAUUUACUAAGUUGCUUUGUUCAGCUUCUAAUAAUAAGCUCAGAUCAUAGAGCAUUUUCAGCCAGAAAAAGCGAUUUUAUUCAAAGUUUCAUUUUUUUAUUAGUGACAUCUGAGUUAUUACUUACUUAUCAAUAAUACUGUAUGAUGUAAUCGCCUAUUAAAUUGUAUUAAGACUAACUUUACGAUUAAAAUUAUUCCCGUUAAACGAAGUUAUUUCUGUAGUUGACUUUAACUGAGUAGCUGUUCAAACUCACCAGGGAAGAGUAGAAUAUUACAUAGUAGUGACUACCUUG